Long non-coding RNA from Dermacentor silvarum, 503 nucleotides. RefSeq lists it as uncharacterized. The record is from RefSeq and is a predicted model, not a curated record. The transcript is spliced from 3 exons. NCBI's taxonomy places the organism in Eukaryota, Metazoa, Arthropoda, Arachnida, Ixodida, Ixodidae.
GGGGAAGGGUCUCAAGAAACCGAUGCCAGCUGUUCAGUGCUCCUGACUGCGGCAGUCGGCACCAGUAACACCGGGCAAGAGACGCUGCAGGUGGACGCGACCAAUGCCGCGCCAUCGGUCCAAGGCUUCGAUAGUGACACGAGCCACGAUGCCAGCUGCGGAAGCACCUUGAGCAGUCGGGGGCCUGAUGCACUGCGGGACUUUUCUCUGCCCGCCGACUCCUCUGACGAAUGUGGAAGGCGUAGAAACGAGAUAGCCGAAGUAACUGCGUCCUCCACGGGUGGCCGAGGUGUCGCCGAUCUCGAAGUUCUUCCGGGUCAUGACGUCACGGGAGUCGAAAGGCCAGUUCUUACGCAAGUAUCAUCACACCCUCUGACCGACGAGCUCGCUGCCAUUCACGAAAGCUGGCAAGUCAUCAAGGAUACAGGAUCCACAGACAGCAGUUUGUCCUCCGAUGUCGAUAGUGACCAACACACGUCCACGACAAGUAUCCGCGGAAGCAG